CCUGAUAGCUUAGUUGGUAAAGAACCUGCCUACAAUGCAGGAGACCCGGGUUAGAUCCCUGGGUCAGGA
RNAcentral lists this transfer RNA (69 nucleotides) under Ovis aries (sheep). It matches the Rfam family "tRNA". From Rfam's summary of the family: Transfer RNA (tRNA) molecules are approximately 80 nucleotides in length. Their secondary structure includes four short double-helical elements and three loops (D, anti-codon, and T loops). The record is from Rfam by way of RNAcentral. Lineage: Eukaryota; Metazoa; Chordata; Mammalia; Artiodactyla; Bovidae.